This 72-nucleotide transfer RNA is filed under the name Anaerolineaceae bacterium. RNAcentral describes it as "tRNA-Met". It matches the Rfam family "tRNA". Rfam says of the family: Transfer RNA (tRNA) molecules are approximately 80 nucleotides in length. Their secondary structure includes four short double-helical elements and three loops (D, anti-codon, and T loops). Further hydrogen bonds mediate the characteristic L-shaped molecular structure. tRNAs have two regions of fundamental functional importance: the anti-codon, which is responsible for specific mRNA codon recognition, and the 3' end, to which the tRNAs corresponding amino acid is attached (by aminoacyl-tRNA synthetases). tRNAs cope with the degeneracy of the genetic code in two manners: having more than one tRNA (with a specific anti-codon) for a particular amino acid; and 'wobble' base-pairing, i.e. permitting non-standard base-pairing at the 3rd anti-codon position. RNAcentral also lists the same sequence under 1 other name. Lineage: Bacteria; Bacillati; Chloroflexota; Anaerolineae; Anaerolineales; Anaerolineaceae. The record is from RNAcentral.
GGCGAGGUAGCUCAGUGGUAGAGCAGGGGACUCAUAAGCCCUUGGUCGUGAGUUCGACCCUCACCCUCGCCA